UACGUAGGGGGCAAGCGUUGUCCGGAUUUAUUGGGCGUAAAGAGCGUGUAGGCGGCCAGGUAGGUCUGGUGUGAAAACUCGAGGCUUAACCUCGAGAUGUCAUCGGAAACCAUCUGGCUAGAGUCCGGAAGAGGAGAGUGGAAUUCCUGGUGUAGCGGUGAAAUGCGCAGAUAUCAGGAAGAACACCAAUGGCGAAAGCAGCUCUCUGGGAGGGUACUGACGCUGAGACGCGAAAGCGUGGGGAGAGAACAGG
This 253-nucleotide ribosomal RNA is filed under the name uncultured bacterium. RNAcentral describes it as "partial 16S ribosomal RNA". It matches the Rfam family "Bacterial small subunit ribosomal RNA", at positions 524 to 776 of the family's 1533-position model. The record is from RNAcentral.